RNAcentral lists this unclassified non-coding RNA (329 nucleotides) under soil metagenome. RNAcentral's name for it is "partial contains 5.8S ribosomal RNA, internal transcribed spacer 2, and large subunit ribosomal RNA". The stretch from base 1 to 120 matches the Rfam family "5.8S ribosomal RNA", at positions 35 to 154 of the family's 154-position model. The record is from RNAcentral.
GAUGAAGAACGCAGUGAAAUGCGAUAAGUAAUGUGAAUUGCAGAAUUCAGUGAAUCAUCGAAUCUUUGAACGCACAUUGCGCCCUCUGGUAUUCCGGGGGGCAUGCCUGUUCGAGCGUCAUUAUAACCACUCAAGCUCUCGCUUGGUAUUGGGGUUCGCGGUUCCGCGGCCCCUAAAAUCAGUGGCGGUGCCUGUCGGCUCUACGCGUAGUAAUACUCCUCGCGAUUGAGUCCGGUAGGUCUACUUGCCAGCAACCCCCAAUUUUUACAGGUUGACCUCGGAUCAGGUAGGGAUACCCGCUGAACUUAAGCAUAUCAAUAAGCGGAGGA